RNAcentral lists this ribosomal RNA (367 nucleotides) under Globigerinita uvula. Its description in RNAcentral is "bacterial SSU rRNA". It matches the Rfam family "Eukaryotic small subunit ribosomal RNA", at positions 1178 to 1400 of the family's 1831-position model. The record is from RNAcentral. Lineage: Eukaryota; Foraminifera; Rotaliida; Globigerinitidae.
GGAGCAUGUGGCUUAAUUUGACUCAACGCGGGAAAUCUUACCGGGUCCGGACACACUGAGGAUUGACAGGCAAUAUAUGUGACUCUUCGGAGUUUGCAUUGUUAAAUAUGCUAGUCCUUUCAUGAUUAUGUGAUAGGUGGUGCAUGGCCGUUCUUAGUUCGUGGAGUGAUCUGUCUGCUUAAUUGCGUUUCAAAUUACUUAUAAGGUAGCAAUACGCGAUGAAACUUUCAAUAGUCUCUCACGAGAUUCACUUGAGUCGACUCGCUUCGCUAUCCUUUCGAAUGCAACGAACGUGACCGCAACCUCUUGUUGCCUUCGUUUAACAUCCUGCAGCUCGCUGUGGGUACUGAGGGCUUCACUCGGUGAC